RNAcentral lists this non-coding RNA (227 nucleotides) under Neobacillus bataviensis. RNAcentral describes it as "Bacillus bataviensis T-box sequence". It matches the Rfam family "T-box leader". From Rfam's summary of the family: Uncharged tRNA acts as the effector for transcription antitermination of genes in the T-box leader family. T-boxes are found upstream of many aminoacyl-tRNA synthetase genes and some amino acid biosynthetic genes usually in Gram-positive bacteria. The anticodon of a specific tRNA base pairs to a specifier sequence within the T-box motif, and the NCCA acceptor tail of the tRNA base pairs to a conserved bulge in the T-box antiterminator hairpin. Lineage: Bacteria; Bacillati; Bacillota; Bacilli; Caryophanales; Bacillaceae. The record is from RNAcentral.
CAAAAAGCAAUGAGAGGAACUAGUAACAAGAACUUCACUCAGAAAGAGAGCCGGUGGCUGGUGUGAACCGGUGUGUGAUGCUUGUGAAUCCCUCCUCGAGCAAGGUAUGGAACGUCUCUAUUUAGAGGUCAGUAAGUACUUUCGGUAGAAACCGUUACAUUUUUUCGAGGUGGACAGUCUUGACUGUCAACCAGGGUGGUAUCGCGUGAUUAACUCUCGUCCCUGUU